CUUAUAGCUCAGUGGCAGAGCAUCUGCUUUGCAUGCAGAAGGUCCCACCUCAUUCUCUGGCAGGUAGG
Molecule: non-coding RNA, 68 nt
Organism: Podarcis lilfordi (Lilford's wall lizard)
Lineage: Eukaryota; Metazoa; Chordata; Lepidosauria; Squamata; Lacertidae
Source: the annotation of a GenBank genome assembly